GAUGAACGCUGGCGGCGUGCCUAAUACAUGCAAGUCGAGCGAACAGGCGAGGAGCUUGCUCCUCUGACGUUAGCGGCGGACGGGUGAGUAACACGUGAAUAACCUACCUAUAAGACUGGGAUAACUUCGGGAAACCGGAGCUAAUACCGGAUAAUAUAUUGAACCGCAUGGUUCAAUAGUGAAGGACGGUUUCGCUGUCACUUAUAGAUGGAUCCGCGCCGCAUUAGCUAGUUGGUAAGGUAACGGCUUACCAAGGCAACGAUGCGUAGCCGACCGGAGAGGGUGAUCGGCCACACUGGAACUGAGACACGGUCCAGACUCCUACGGGAGGCAGCAGUAGGGAAUCUUCCGCAAUGGGCGAAAGCCUGACGGAGCAACGCCGCGUGAGUGAUGAAGGUCUUCGGAUCGUAAAACUCUGUUAUUAGGGAAGAACAAAUGUGUAAGUAACUAUGCAGGUCUUGACGGUACCUAAUCAGAAAGCCACGGCUAACUACGUGCCAGCCGCCGCCGUAA
RNAcentral lists this ribosomal RNA (513 nucleotides) under uncultured bacterium. Its description in RNAcentral is "partial 16S ribosomal RNA". It matches the Rfam family "Bacterial small subunit ribosomal RNA", at positions 28 to 523 of the family's 1533-position model. The record is from RNAcentral.